GAGACAAAGAACUCAGGAUCUCCGAAUGGGAAUCCCCACCGCAAUUGCCUCGCGCAAUGGGGAACGCUCCGAAUUGAAACAUCUCAGUAGGAGCAGGAACAGAAAGCAAUAGCGAUGUCGUUACUAACCGCGAGUGAACGCGACGCAGUCCAAACCGAAUCCCUCACGGGAAAUGUGGUGUUCGGACUGACCACAACGAAUCUCAACGUCAGGAGAAAUCUCCUGGAACGGAGUGCGAUACAGGGUGACAGCCCCGUAUCCCGACCGCGAGAUUCCGGGUUAGCUCCAGAGUACCGAGGAUUGGAUAUUCCUCGUUAAUAUCGCAGGCAUCAACUGCGAAGACUAAACACUCCUCGAGACCGAUAGCGAACAAGUAGCGUGAGCGAACGCUGAAAAGCACCCCGAACAGGGCGGUGCAAUAGGGCCUGAACUCAGUCAGUGAUAGAACGACGGGGCAUACAAGGUCCCCGAAUAAACGACCGUGGGGCGACCCACCAGUAGGACUUCGGGGAAGCCGAUGUCGCGUCGUGCGUUUUGAAAAACGACCCAGGGAGUGUACCCUCGUGGCAAGCCUAACUGGAUCAUCCAGGCAGGCACAGGGAAACCGAUACGGCCGCAGUCUCUUCGGAGACCAGGGCCACCGUGUUCAAGCGCGGGGAGUCACGAUGGUACGACCCGAAACCGAGUGAUCUACGCGCGGGCAAGGUGAAGCGUGGCGAAAGCUGCGUGGAGGCCUGAAGAGUUGGUGUCCUACAAUACCCUCUCCUGACCCGUGCGUAGGGGUGAAAGGCCCAUCGAACUCGGCAACAGCUGGUUCCAGCCGAAACAUGUCGAAGCAUGACCUCGACCGAGGUAGUCUGCGAGGUAGAGCCACCGAUUGGAUGACCCGCCUCCGAGAGGAGUCGGCCAUCCUGUCGAACUCCAAACUUGCAGACGCCGUAGACGUCGGGAAUCCGGACUGCGGGGUAAGCCUGUGGUCCGUGAGGGAGACAACCCAGAGCCGGGUUAAGGUCCCCAAGUGUAGAUUAAGUGCAACCGAAGGUGGUCUCGAGCCCUAAACAGCCGGGAGGUGAGCUUAGAAGCAGCUACCCUCUAAGAAAAGCGUAACAGCUUACCGGCCGAGGUUCGAGGCGCCCAAA
This 1139-nucleotide ribosomal RNA is filed under the name Halobellus clavatus. Its description in RNAcentral is "Archaeal large subunit ribosomal RNA". It matches the Rfam family "Archaeal large subunit ribosomal RNA", at positions 93 to 1255 of the family's 2987-position model. The record is from Rfam by way of RNAcentral. Lineage: Archaea; Methanobacteriati; Methanobacteriota; Halobacteria; Halobacteriales; Haloferacaceae.